Molecule: long non-coding RNA, 433 nt
Organism: Corylus avellana
Lineage: Eukaryota; Viridiplantae; Streptophyta; Magnoliopsida; Fagales; Betulaceae
Source: RefSeq, a predicted model, not a curated record
UCACAAAUGAGUAUAGUGCAAUGGAUAUUGCCGGAGUUGAGUCUGUGCAAACUUGAGAAUUGUGAGAGGUGAAGAAGCCAUACAGACAGGGAAAAUGGAGAAAAAUCUGACAAAUGGAAAAGAAGUGCAUACCAAUGAACCAUGAAUAAGCUGAUGAGUUUCUCUCUCCAUCCCCGGUUGUGACAUUGAGAAGAAAAAUGUGUUCACGGUUUGCAGUCAAGUUUUUCAGUACUAUAAUAUCAGUUGGACAAGCAGGUACGGGACUCAAUUUUUGUACACUCACACGUGUAUGCUCAACGGUCACCUCUCAACCCAAGCACAGCGAAAAGGGGAAUGAUACCUCGCAGUGAAUAGAACAACCAUUCUUUUUACAUGCAUUGGAACCAUCCAACCUCUCAAGUGAGUACCGGAAAAUGGCGGUAGAGAAUCUUGA